UCUUGAAAAGUAGCUUUUUCGCCGGCGAACCUAGUUUCUCAUUUUUGUAUAUUUACUCAGCUACAAAAGCGUGAGUUUUGUUUUAGAUGCACAGAUUGGACUAUAUUACUUCCCUCAACUCUUACUUAGUAAGUCAACAAUUAACCUCUAAGCAAACAGUGCUAAACGGGCAACUGAUUUCUCAAGAAGAAGAAGCGUACAAGCAACAGAUAAUCACUCUUACCGAUGGAAAUUCACAAAGCGUUCCCUUGGGAAUGACUGGUGCCGAGUAUCACCUAUACACGUCAGGGGUUGUAGAAGAGGACCUAGGCGAGACUGAAGAUAUCGAAAUUGAAUUAGUACGUAAUUAUCAAGUCAUAAAUCUAGUUUGUAGUUUGUAUAACAGUUUGUAAAUUUUGGGGGUUUCCCGUCCAAUGUAUAUAAUAAUCUUUUGGUCGAAAAAAUUUGGUAACAUUUAUUUUUUACUAACUUCAACAAUAAUUUAUGUGAGGACACUUCCGCGGAAGAGGAUCACGACGACAGCUUACAACAAUAAAAUUUACUUUAUUAUCAACGGAGGCAACCUUAAAAGUUUAUAAAGUUUAUUUGUCUAAUAAACAAAAAGACAACCAGCAC
This is an RNA transcript of Zophobas morio, 615 nucleotides long. RefSeq lists it as uncharacterized. The transcript is spliced from 5 exons. Lineage: Eukaryota; Metazoa; Arthropoda; Insecta; Coleoptera; Tenebrionidae. The record is from RefSeq and is a predicted model, not a curated record.